Long non-coding RNA from Anguilla anguilla (European eel), 430 nucleotides. RefSeq lists it as uncharacterized. The transcript is spliced from 4 exons. Lineage: Eukaryota; Metazoa; Chordata; Actinopteri; Anguilliformes; Anguillidae. The record is from RefSeq and is a predicted model, not a curated record.
GGUAAGUAAGGAAAUGUCCAAAACAGAAACGGGAUCUUAACGGCCAUUUAAAAAACGGAGAAGAAAGGAAUCCUAGGAAAGAAGGAAUAAAAUGAAAUGUAAAAAACGGAGUAAACAGUCUGUUGUGGAGUGGAACUGAGUUGCUGUGUUUCAAGCUGCUUAUAUAUCGGGUGAACGGACAAGGAAGAACGCAGGCACCUAUUACGCGAAAAAAGCUUCCACCCACAGGUCUGCCAAUUUGGGUCAGAACCCACUUGUGAAUCUGAUCUGGUGUGUUCAGGUGUCCUGAGACAGGGGGCGCUGUUUCUAAAAUGAGUUCCUCAGAGGAGACCGAGACUGACGAUGGAACCCACGGCCCUGUGAGAAAGAGGGUCCAGAUAGAUAGGGCUGGGUCACCUGCACCCAGCUGUCUGUCUAUGAAGAGUGAUCG